AACUAGUUAAAUCAAUAAAAGUGGUCCAAACUGUUGGUAAAAAAACUGUUGAAAUCAAUAAUAAAUAAACAAUUAGAACUUUCCGAGAUUGAUGAUCUCAAACUCUCAAUCACGUCGCGGAACAAAAUCUAUUGCCUUAGAAGCGAAAUACGCCACCAACCGGUACAAGUUUUCUAAUGACGCACACCCUUCAAGUUUAACGCAACUUUCCUCGUAAUUCGUGCACCUAAGCCCGAAAAAAUGGAAGUACUCAAGAACGGUUCAGAUCUCAAAAGGUAGGUUUGUGUUUGAGUGUUUAGGGUAUUUCAAUAAUGAAAAUAACGUAUGAUGGAAAUAAUAGCCAAGGAGUAGUAUUUAUAGGAGUAAUAAGAAAAGGAAAUAAGCAGCACAAGCCUCACGCAAGGCCCAUACCCACGGCAGGGCUGGUGAACUAUCGCUCUCUAGCGAGUGAGCUAUCGCUCAGCCUUGCCGUAGACUUCAUGAGCUGCGAGCUAUAGCUCACUCGCUGGUGAGCUCUCGCUCAGAAUGCAGCAAGAGUCUGCCAGCAGUAGGCUCUCGCUCGGACCUGCUGCAGGCCAUUGCGGGCAUCCGAGCUCUAGCUCUCUUGCUAGCUCGGUCUUGCACGGCUCACCAACUUGCAUGCUACAUCUUUCUCUCGUUAGCUCCUUGCGCACUCACUUGGUAAAACUCCGAUUUGCAUUACUAGAAAUGCAAAAACUCCAAUACAAACUUGUAUUUGCUCACAUCCUGAUUUGUGACCAAAGUAGGUUUAAUUAGGAAGCCAAAGGAAGUUGGCAAAAACUUCGCUUAUUAACUUUCCAAUGUGUUACUCCUACAACUCUACAACUCUUAAGAAUUUUGAAAGAAAGAAAGAAAGAAUUAAAAGCAUACACUUGUAUCAUUGUAUGUUGUACUAGUAUAUGGUUAGAAACUUAGAAGUUAAAACUAUAGAUUUAUUUACCAAAAAUUAUCAGAAAUUCAUUUUCCAUGAAUUAGACAUAAAUAAAUAAAUAGAGGGAGAUGGAAAACGAGUGGAUUGCACAUCUGGCCAACUUUGACCUGCAAAUUGCUAAAGUUGUUUUUAUAAAAUUUUUAAAUAAUAUUGUUUGGUUGGUUGAGCGAAUGAUGUAUAGUUUUGUGGCUUCUACCUCCCUUAAAAACUCCAAUCUGGAUGCCAAGCUACACGCCUCCCAAUACCGGCCUUCUAUUUAUUAUUUAUUUUUUAUUUUUUAUUUCAUUUUUCAUUCAACUUUCAAAUUUGGCAUUGGUUAAUUAUCCUUAUUGGGCAAUUUUUUUAGGAAAAUUUAAGAGGAGUAAUUCAACUUUUUAUCCGUUCUCCCAUAUUAAUCCCACAUUUUGAUUAUUCCUCAUUAAUUCAACCUUUGCCCCCCAUCUUCCCAUAUCACACCUUGCAGGUCACCUUACCCUUUCAACUGGUUACCCAUCCACGUGGCACUUCCUAAUUGGUCAAUUUUUUAUUUUUUAUUUUAAAAAAUAUAUUUAAUUAAAAAUAAUAAAAAAUGAAAAAAAAAAAUCUCUAAACUCCUUCCCCUUUUUCCUUCCCUAACCUUUCUCACUCUUCUUCCUCUUCAGAUUACAACCACCGUCACCCCGCCCCCACGCCGCCCCGUCGUUAACCCUCUUAUUACCUCGCGUCUACACCCAACCCACCCCUUCUCGUUAUUGUCGCUGAUACGUCCUCUCUUUUUCUUCUCUUUUUGUUUCAUUUUAUCACCACCAUUAAAGUUUUCAAGUGUGAGGUUUUGAUGGUUAAAUUUAACCAUGAUAACUCUAGAUAUAGUGUUUUCAAGGUUAAAUUUAACUAAAUAAAACCAUAGUUGAAGUUUUUAAAGGUAAGUGUGGGGUUUUUCGGGGUGGUUUGGGUUUUAAAUUUGUGUGUGAUUUGGAGUUUGCAGUGGUUGUGUUGUGGUUCGUGCCAUCAUGGUUAGUGAGGUGGUGAGGUUCGUGGUGUUGAUAGGUUUUGGUGGGCGUGGGUUAUAGUUUGUGGUGGUUGUGGUUCGUGGCAGGUAGGGAUGGUAUGGGUUAGAGUUUUGGUGGUGGUUGCUGUCGGUCAAUGGGGGUUUGUGCGGCGACAGGGAAUGGUGAAUCUGGUGAUGGUGUGUUGAGGUUGGUGGGUAAGGAAGGGGAAGGGAGGUGAGGUGUUAAACUGAUAAUGGAAAGGAGAUGAGAGAGAAUGAAGCUAAAGAGAAUGGUUGGUGGUGGUGGGUUGAUGGUUUCGGCUAGGUCAGGUUAGUGGUUUUGAGUCGAGGUAGGAGUGCGGGAAGGGUUUCCGGUCUGGGUUUGGGUAAGUGGGUUAAGUGGUAGAGGAGGUGGUGGUGGUGGCUAAGUUGCGGGUGAUUGCAAGAGGGUGGCACGUGGCUGGCUAGCUGGUUGACAGGGAAAGGAGGGAGUAGUGGGACGACUUGUUUGACGGGGAAAUAGGGUAGGUUGACGGUGAAGUGAGGUGGUGGCGGGAAGGUGUAGUUGUGGUUGUUUUGGUGCUAGUGGUGGCCAAAGGUGUAGUGGUGGUUGUUUUUGGUGUAAGGUGAUCAAGGGUGGUGAACGGAGGUGGAGCUUUGGGUGGUGAACGGAGGUGGAGCUUUGGGUGGUGGUAAUGGAGGAGGAUGAUGGAAAAUGGUAAGAGGAAGGAGAGGGAAAGGGAUGACCUGUUGUUUUGGUAACUGGUCAUUUGGGUUCAUUUUGGGAAGAAGGGGGGGUAAAGGUUGGAUUAAUGAGAAAUAAUCAAAAGGUGGGAUUAAUAUGGGAGAACGGACAAAAGGUCCUGCUUUUUCGAGCUUCUAGAUAGGGCAGAGCAGAGCAAAUUUUAGCAGAGCAGAGUUGAUUUCUGCAGAAAUAAGCAGGCAGAACAGAGUAGAACAGUUUAAAAGAACAGGGCCUUAGUAUUGUAUAUAUGUAUUAGUUAAAAAAUUAUUGUAUACAUGUAUUUGUUCAAUAAUUAUUGUAUACAUGUACCAAUAAAAGUGUUGGCUCACUUGAUAAGUUUCUUACUUCUAA
Long non-coding RNA from Chenopodium quinoa (quinoa), 3015 nucleotides. RefSeq lists it as uncharacterized. The record is from RefSeq and is a predicted model, not a curated record. The transcript is spliced from 2 exons. Lineage: Eukaryota; Viridiplantae; Streptophyta; Magnoliopsida; Caryophyllales; Amaranthaceae.